This is a long non-coding RNA of Nothoprocta perdicaria, 188 nucleotides long. RefSeq lists it as uncharacterized. The transcript is spliced from 3 exons. The record is from RefSeq and is a predicted model, not a curated record. NCBI's taxonomy places the organism in Eukaryota, Metazoa, Chordata, Aves, Tinamiformes, Tinamidae.
UGUGUCAAUAUUUUGCUCAUGUCCUCCAUGGGAGAACUCCUAAGAACAUGGAAGAAGCUACCAAAAGCUGAUAAUAUGCCAAACAUUUGCCUUGAGAGUGCUAUUCUCUCUCCCAGCGUGACUUACAUCCGCUGGAAAGUGCAUGAGGACUGGGUUACUCAGCUGAGUUACUAUGACUCCAUUAAAGC